Molecule: ribosomal RNA, 482 nt
Filed under: uncultured bacterium
Lineage: Bacteria
Description: bacterial SSU rRNA
Rfam family: Bacterial small subunit ribosomal RNA
Source: RNAcentral
GAUGAACGUUGGCGGCAUGGAUUAGGCAUGCAAGUCGAGCGAGAAGCUUUAGUUUGACGCUUCGGUUGAUUUCUAAAGUGGACAGCGGCGCAAGGGAGAGUAACGCGUAGUUAUCUACCCUAGGGUCCGGAAUAGCCUCGGGAAACUGAGGGUAAUACCGGAUAAUAUCCCCGGAUCAAAGGUGUGAUUCCGCCCUAGGAGGAGACUGCGUACUACUAGCUUGUUGGUGGGGUAAUGGCCUACCAAGGCUCUGAUGGUUAGCGGGCGUGAGAGCGUGGCCCGUCUCACUGGGACUGAAACACUGCCCAGACACCUACGGGUGGCUGCAGUCGAGAAUCUUCGGCAAUGGGCGAAAGCCUGACCGAGCGAUGCCGCGUGCGGGAUGAAGGCCCUCGGGUUGUAAACCGCUGUCAGUUGGGAGGAAGGGUCCGUGAAGAGCGGAUCUUGACCUAUCUUCAGAGGAAGUCCGGGCUAAGUUCGUG